UGAGACCGGCGCACGGGUGCGUAACGCGUAUGCAAUCUACCUUAUACUGAGGGAUAGCCCAGAGAAAUUUGGAUUAAUACCUCAUAGUAUUAUCGAAUGGCAUCAUUUGAUAAUUAAAGUUCCAACGGUAUAAGAUGAGCAUGCGUCCCAUUAGUUAGUUGGUAAGGUAACGGCUUACCAAGACUAUGAUGGGUAGGGGUCCUGAGAGGGAGACCCCCCACACUGGGACUGAGACACGGCCCAGACUCC
RNAcentral lists this ribosomal RNA (249 nucleotides) under uncultured bacterium. RNAcentral's name for it is "partial 16S ribosomal RNA". It matches the Rfam family "Bacterial small subunit ribosomal RNA", at positions 90 to 339 of the family's 1533-position model. The record is from RNAcentral.